GACGAACGCUGGCGGCGUGCUUAACACAUGCAAGUCGAACGGUAAGGCCCUUCGGGGUACACGAGUGGCGAACGGGUGAGUAACACGUGGGUAAUCUGCCCUGCACAUCGGGAUAAGCCUGGGAAACUGGGUCUAAUACCGAAUAGGACCACAGAACACAUGUCCUGUGGUGGAAAGCUUUUGCGGUGUGGGAUGGGCCCGCGGCCUAUCAGCUUGUUGGUGGGGUGAUGGCCCACCAAGGCGACGACGGGUAGCCGGCCUGAGAGGGUGUCCGGCCACACUGGGACUGAGAUACGGCCCAGACUCCUACGGGAGGCAGCAGUGGGGAAUAUUGCACAAUGGGCGAAAGCCUGAUGCAGCGACGCCGCGUGGGGGAUGACGGCCUUCGGGUUGUAAACCUCUUUCACCAUCGACGAAGGUUCGGGUUUUCUCGGAUUGACGGUAGGUGGAGAAGAAGCACCGGCCAACUACGUGCCAGCAGCCGCGGUAAUACGUAGGGUGCGAGCGUUGUCCGGAAUUACUGGGCGUAAAGAGCUCGUAGGUGGUUUGUCGCGUUGUUCGUGAAAUCUCACGGCUUAACUGUGAGCGUGCGGGCGAUACGGGCAGACUUGAGUACUGCAGGGGAGACUGGAAUUCCUGGUGUAGCGGUGGAAUGCGCAGAUAUCAGGAGGAACACCGGUGGCGAAGGCGGGUCUCUGGGCAGUAACUGACGCUGAGGAGCGAAAGCGUGGGGAGCGAACAGGAUUAGAUACCCUGGUAGUCCACGCCGUAAACGGUGGGUACUAGGUGUGGGUUUCCUUCCUUGGGAUCCGUGCCGUAGCUAACGCAUUAAGUACCCCGCCUGGGGAGUACGGCCGCAAGGCUAAAACUCAAAGAAAUUGACGGGGGCCCGCACAAGCGGCGGAGCAUGUGGAUUAAUUCGAUGCAACGCGAAGAACCUUACCUGGGUUUGACAUGCACAGGACGCCGGCAGAGAUGUCGGUUCCCUUGUGGCCUGUGUGCAGGUGGUGCAUGGCUGUCGUCAGCUCGUGUCGUGAGAUGUUGGGUUAAGUCCCGCAACGAGCGCAACCCUUGUCUCAUGUUGCCAGCGGGUAAUGCCGGGGACUCGUGAGAGACUGCCGGGGUCAACUCGGAGGAAGGUGGGGAUGACGUCAAGUCAUCAUGCCCCUUAUGUCCAGGGCUUCACACAUGCUACAAUGGCCGGUACAAAGGGCUGCGAUGCCGCGAGGUUAAGCGAAUCCUUUUAAAGCCGGUCUCAGUUCGGAUCGGGGUCUGCAACUCGACCCCGUGAAGUCGGAGUCGCUAGUAAUCGCAGAUCAGCAACGCUGCGGUGAAUACGUUCCCGGGCCUUGUACACACCGCCCGUCACGUCAUGAAAGUCGGUAACACCCGAAGCCAGUGGCCUAACCCUUUGGGAGGGAGCUGUCGAAGGUGGGAUCGGCGAUUGGGACG
This 1452-nucleotide ribosomal RNA is filed under the name Mycobacterium gordonae. RNAcentral describes it as "bacterial SSU rRNA". It matches the Rfam family "Bacterial small subunit ribosomal RNA". The record is from RNAcentral. Lineage: Bacteria; Bacillati; Actinomycetota; Actinomycetes; Mycobacteriales; Mycobacteriaceae.